Molecule: long non-coding RNA, 234 nt
Organism: Megalops cyprinoides (Indo-Pacific tarpon)
Lineage: Eukaryota; Metazoa; Chordata; Actinopteri; Elopiformes; Megalopidae
Exons: 3
Source: RefSeq, a predicted model, not a curated record
ACACCACUGAAGAGAAAACUUACUGCUAAUAAGUCUUGGGGAAUGUCUUGGAAAAGGAGCAAUUACAGAUUUAAUCCUUUCCGUAGCCGAAUUCAUUCAACCCUAGCGCGACUUCACGGUGAACCUCCACAUACAAAACGAAACAGCCUGAGAGCGAGGUAUGCAGGAAACAGCGCCCCCGGUGGUCACCCCCCAGGGAAGGGAUAUAACAGGAGGAGAUCCAAUGUCAGCGAG